Molecule: ribosomal RNA, 250 nt
Filed under: uncultured bacterium
Lineage: Bacteria
Description: partial 16S ribosomal RNA
Rfam family: Bacterial small subunit ribosomal RNA
Source: RNAcentral
GCAAGUCGAGCGGAAACGAAGGGAGCUUGCUCCCAGGCGUCGAGCGGCGGACGGGUGAGUAACGCGUAGGAAUCUACCCAGUAGCGGGGGAUAGCCCGGGGAAACCCGGAUUAAUACCGCAUAAGCCUUACGGGGGAAAGGCCGGGAUCUUCGGACCGGUCACUAUUGGAGGAGCCUGCGUUGGAUUAGCUAGUUGGUGAGGUAAAAGCUCACCAAGGCGACGAUCCAUAGCUGGUCUGAGAGGACGAUC